AAAGAAAGGAAGGGGGCUUGGAAAUAAUAGUGUUUGAAAGGUGAGAAAUAACGGUGUAAAGGAAAGAACCUAGAGAAUCGAAAUGAGCAGAUCAGCCCGGGUUCUUGUAUGUAAUUUUCAAUUCACCUACAAUAAAUCCAGUUGCAUCAGACUCUGCGGAUUGUGUAUAAUUUUGAAGAAGCAUUCAACAGUGUGAGGAGAGCGACCCCAGCACUUCUGGCCCAGGCCAGGGCCUGUUUUUCCCCCACAUUGAAUUGGCGAGCCAGCCAGGAGAGGUUCGGGGAAGCCGAACGUCUGGACGGAACUGCUGACUCUUGGAUUCAACAGUGGCCACAAAGCAGUAAGGUAAAGGGUGCCACCGAAGGAAGAACAAGUGACAUCUCUGAGGACCUGAGCAGAAUACGCCCAGGAGACUGGGUGUAUAUCAGAACGUUCAAAAGAAAGUGAAACGAACCCAGGCGCGAAGGACCGUUCAAAGUGGUCUAGGCAACUCCUACUGCACUUAAGGUUGAAGGUAAAACUGUGUGGUUCCACCACAAUCAUUGCUGUAGGGCAAGGGGCCAGAGCGUUCACUGGACGAGGUAAGGGGAGACUUGCGGGAGAUAAAGGAAGGAUUAGAUGGGGAACCAGGACCCUCUAAGAGAAGGCAGGGUGAGGAAGGUGCACCUUCAGAGAGUAGGGAACCUUCAGAAAGUGGAGAGAAUGAGGGAACAGGGGAGACGUAGAGGGAGGCAAGGGCGGGUGAAAGGAGUAUGGAGUGUAGUGACGGGAAUACUGUUACUGUGGAUGGAGAUAUGUCAGGCGAUGCCCACCCUACCAACCGGGUGGGGAAUCAGGCGAAAACCAACAGAGGAGGUGCUUGAUGAUGAGCAAACCCGCCGCAUGCUAACCGAGGACCCACAACUCACCUUACACACCAAGACCCAUAAUAUGUUUUACCGGUGGUUGGAAUAUUCUGCGAGACAGGUGACCUAAGACACAUGCAUAACAUGCUACCACACCGGCAUGAAAAAGAAAUCCCAGCUGAGACCACUGCAGACCACCAGUUGCAGACUGGGAAGGGAUAUGUGCCCCAGUUGUUUGGACUGGACGAGCCAUUGGACUGAAUCCACGCCAACACUCGGAGCGGAUGAAGCGUUCCUGGAAGGAGGAUAAAGGAGCGUGGGUAAGCUACUCAGAAUGUGAGGUAAGGAGUGACAUGGCCGGACGGUGGAAAAGAGAGGUGGGUGAGUGGAACGAAGAAAGCGAGGUGAGUGUGAACUGGGCCGGAAUUCCUGUAAAUAUACCCAGACAACACAGAGUAAUGGGAUUAGACUCUUCUGACAACCUUAUAGAGUUUCUACCUUAGGUACAAAUAAAAAGAAAUGUUGAGUGGAUUAAUUACCUGUGGUACAAUCAGCAGAGAUUCAUUAAUCACAUUGUGGCAGCACUGCAAGGUAUAAAAAAACAAUUACAUGCCACCUUGCUCGUGACAAUACAGAACAGGCUAAUUCUUGACACAAUGUUAGCCGAGGAGCAGGGGGUACGUGAACGUGUUGGGGACGAAUGUUGUACAGUCAUUCCAAUGCACACAGGAAAAGGGGGCAACAUAACAGCAUUAGAGGCACUGAAGAAUCUAAGGGAUGAACUACAUAUACAACUAAACUAAAAAUACAAAGGGAGAAUCCCAGGAGUGGUCAUGGUGGGACUGGUUCAACAUGUCAACAUGGAAAACGGCUCUGGUAAAAAUAGGGGUGAUCAUAGGGAUAGUAUUGUUGAUGUUGCUAUUGGUCACAUGUUGUGUGGUCCCAUUGCUCCAAUCCAUGGUCAAAAGAAUGAUACUGUGGCUGAACAAUUCCUGUUGGUUGCUGAUCCUGAACUAGACACCACCAUCUCAGAUGCAGACCCUAUAUACGAGGACAUGAUGUCACAAAAAGGAAAGGAACCAUUGCAUGAGAUUCAAUACAGUGCAAGGGGGGGGGAUGAUAUGUUGUAUCUGUCAUCCAAACAGGACCUAACGAAUAUCACGACCAAUAUGGAAACCUGGUGAACGCUAAAGGCGGCCCACUUGACUGCCCGUUUGGAAACCCCCUGUGCGAAUGGGGGGUGAGAGCAGGUGCCGGUUGGGAGUGUUGGGAUUACCAUCCACAAGCCGCCCGCCAGGCAAAGGAUCCUCAGUUUUGCGACACUUACGGCAAGUGUAUCUAGGGAAUAGAUUUCGAGGACGAUGGAGACUGCCAGCUUAGUGAGGAAAAGAGCGACCCGAAUCACUGUGCAUCGAAUGUACUAGCAACCUUUCCACAGUGAUGACCCUCUCUACGGUACGUAAAGCACCCGGGUUGAAGAAACAUGCUCCAACUACACAACUCACGAGAUGACACACAGGAUCGUUAACAGCAAGAGUAUCUGAGUGAUGUGCUAGUAACCUCUCCUCAGUAUACAAAGAGCCAGGCUGCGACUCAAUAAGUAAAUAAGUAAAAGUAGAAGCUACAAUCAAGAAACCAACAUAACUAAGUAUAAUUAACUGAUUGAUUAAACAAAUAACUAACCAGAAUUAUGAUGUUAGAACUCCAUUUAACCAUCUCAUGCAGCCAGGGGUUAACAUGGGGGUGGACGCGGGUGGACGGCGUCCACUCACCUUUGGUAAAUAAAUAAAUAAUUUUGACGGCAGUUUUACAAAUAAUUAUGACAAUCCAGUCCAUUUUUCGUAUGCUCCAGUCUAUGUGUUCCCUCUAGCCAGUUACUCACUCAACUAAUCAAAAAUCCGAAGAAAAAAAACUCAGGAGGAACAGUUUAUAUGGACAGGCACAGAAAGAAAAAUAUCGUUGAUUGUCUUGAUUGUUUCUGCCCUGCUUUCUGGCUGCCCUAAUAACUCGUUAAAGAGUUUCCAGCUUGUGCAGAAUGCAGCUGCUCGUAUCCUGAGCAGAACUAAGAAGUAUGAGCACAUUACACCAGUACUAGCGUCGCUUCACUGGCUACCCAUUAAGUAUAGGAUAGACUUCAAGGUUUUGCUCCUGACUUUUAAAGCUCUGCAUGGACGUGCACCUGUGUACAUAUCGAACCUGCUCCUACCUUAUAAGCCCACAAGGUCACUCCGAUCUCAAGACGCAGGCUACUUGGUAGUCCCAAAAAUUUCCAAGAACCUAAAAGGCGGUAGGGCUUUCUCCUACAGGGCCCCACUACUGUGGAACCAGCUUCCAAUAUUUAUAAAGGAGUCAGACACAGUCUCAAUAUUUAAAUCUAGAUUAAAAACGCACCUCUAUGCUCAAGCUUACAAUCAGUUAUAGUCUGGAGACAGGGUGCGAGAAGCCUGUAGUCAUAGAGCUUUCUAGGUGGCAAUCCUUUCCUUACUGUCACCUGUCAAUCAGCUGUGACCCGACUUUACAUGGGCUGGCUCUUGAUAGGCGGGUAUGGUUGUCUACCACUCAUGACUGCAUGGGCUCUCCAUCCCUGUCCUAGUAGAUAUGCAGCCAUAUUCUACUCCUGGCGGGGUCCCACAAUACAUACCACUGGCACUUACUCACUGUCUGCUAUAUUGCAAAUUCCUUAACUGCUGUU
Anguilla rostrata (American eel) is the source of this 3537-nucleotide long non-coding RNA. RefSeq lists it as uncharacterized. NCBI's taxonomy places the organism in Eukaryota, Metazoa, Chordata, Actinopteri, Anguilliformes, Anguillidae. The transcript has 3 exons. The record is from RefSeq and is a predicted model, not a curated record.